Cephus cinctus (wheat stem sawfly) is the source of this 2606-nucleotide long non-coding RNA. RefSeq lists it as uncharacterized. The record is from RefSeq and is a predicted model, not a curated record. NCBI's taxonomy places the organism in Eukaryota, Metazoa, Arthropoda, Insecta, Hymenoptera, Cephidae. The transcript has 3 exons.
GUUGGCGUAAUCUCGAAGGCAGACUAAAUCGCAGUACGGAGCGGUCGUAAAGCUAGUUUUAUUUUCCACGUAAUUUAGUCUGCUCUUGCAGAGGAGGGAGGCUGCACAAACCUGCCUUGAUGUCAACUUCUCCAAGCAGUGAAUGCUGACUUCCAACCCUUAAUGGUAAUUGGAGAAAUAGGAUACGUAAGUUAGGUGGGUCCUACAUUCUUAACAAUCGGAACUCGUGAUUACCGGGAAUAUUUUUUCACUCUGGUUCUAGAAAGGGGAUGAUAGACAAUCUUUAUAGUCGGAUGACUAUCGCUGUAAACCAGGGUUUGCCGGAGUGUCUACGUAAUGGCCUUUUACUAUCCCGAGUGUCUCAAGUGCACGAGCACUGACUCUGAACUCACUCUCAGUUCAGGAUACAAGAAAAUAGCGAUAGUCGAUGCGUGCAAGACUCCAGCACGCAUGAGCUCACGGUAAUGCAAUAAGCUCGUGCAUAAGUAGCCAGUAGUACCAUGAGCCUUCGUCACGCACGCUGAGAAUUGAAAGGACGACCUUAGCCGUGCUGCCUUGAAAUAAGUAUUGAAAAGAAGAGCAAGAAUUUACAAAAGUUUUUUCAAAGAGAUAUUAAAAAAAGAAAAUAUUUGUACCAUCGAGUUAUUAGUCCCACAUCAAUCAUUACGUUUGUAUGUCUAACUGAAAAUAUUCAAACUCACCGAGGGCGUCAAUUUCGCUAUGGAAUUUAAUAUCCCACUUGAGUUUCCCAAUGACGCCGCGCGGCGCUGUUGUCGCUUCAUCGAAAAAUAUUUGUAUCGAUAUAUUCGCGUGCGAUUAUACCCAGGAUUCGAGAAUGCGAAAAAUCUCGAAACUUCGUUACAACGUUCACGUUCAGCGAUUUCCUCCUCAGGAAGUUAAGGACAUGGAGUCUAUGAGUUUCUUCGUUACGGAAUCCCCUUUAGUAAUCAAACCUAUCAGAAUCAGGAUGACUAAUGGAAUAGAAUAUUGUCAAAGGGGAUGCCAGUUUGAAGUUGGUUACUUCUGGUGUGAUGGGUGCUGUGUGCACGCUCAACCGUGAUUCCGCAAACAUCAAUGGCUCCGUUUACUCGUGCAGAUUCUUACCCAGUGUAUAAGCACUGUGAAUUACAUUGCAACGUAUGGAUGAGAAAUAAAGUGAAAAAUAAAAAUACCAUCAACGCAUCGAGUAUGCAUCAAUAAAUAAUCCAACCCUCGAGCUUGUAGCAAUAUUGGAAAACACAAGAGCAUACCCUACAGCUGCGCUUCGACGGAAUUAUUAGAAUUUACAAAAAAUAAUCUACGUCCGACAAUAGCCGACCAAGUAAAUUCCCAAGCAUCGCGAGACGUUCUAUAACCAUUUCCCUAUAAUAUAAUAAAGUAGCAAAAAACUCAUCGAUUAAAAAUCCAUAAACCAUUUGGUACAAAUAUAAUCCCCAUAAUUAUGUGAAAAUCCCAGUAAAGUUAACUAUCAUUUCCAAAAAUAAAAUCCCUAUAAUUUUUUAAUCCCUCUAACAAAAAAUUAUCAUUAAUUAAAAUUCAUCAACCCCUCCAAUAAAUUCAAAUAUAAUCGUAGCUCUUUAACCAAAUUAAACCUUCUGCCGGAUAAUCCAAAGUUAAAAAUAUACAAAAUAUAAUUAGCAGUAUAAAUUAAUAACGUUAACGAUUACCACUAAUUGAUAAAAAACAUAUCGGAUAUAGGUAUAGAGUCCCAUACAACGGACGCUAAUAGAAAACACCGUUAAACAAUCGGUUUAUCGAUCUUCGAUUUUAUACCAUUUUGAUAAAUCGUAUAAUCAAUAAAUAAGAAGCUACCAACCAUACACCGAUUAACGUACCGUUCACAAUAGAAAGUGCUCGUUACGAUACUCAUUGUUCUUGCCAGAUCAAGAGAAUGUGUUGCUAGUUUAAUUAGGAGCACUUUCACACUACGGAAACCAGUAGAGCAACCUAUUAAAAAAAAAUUGUUAAAAUUUGCUUAAGCACGCAUUACGUGCAAUCUUCCCACAAUUAUAAGUUUUCUCAAUACCGUAUCCACAUACCAGAUAACCCAUAAAAUGAUAAGACCAAUGCCCACGUCAAUGAUGAAAUACAAAAUUUGCCAAUACAUUAUAAGACAAUUUACUCAAAAACCCCCAAUUUUUGUAAAAAUUUUGAAUAUUCAUUAAAAAUAAUAAAACCCUUAGGGAAUUGCAUGGUAAAAUAAAAACACCCAAUCGUUACUAACGACGACUCUCGACGGUCGCACGAGAGAAAAUCCAUUAACGCAAAGCGACGCCGUAACAGCCUCCCUAUUCCCAUUUUAACAUUGGAAAGCGUCGCGACGCCACUUUUACUUGUUAUAACCAACCAAAUAAAUGAUCGUAAACCUACCAACGAUAAAUUUUAUAUACAGUGAUUAUUUAGGUAAUUAAUAAAAUUUGUUGGUACAGUCAUCAAGUAAUCGAGAUGGCCUCAAGCAGGUAGAGCAAAGUUUAAUUGACUUAAUUUAAUUAAUGAGGAAUGACAGCGUUCCUGUGUUACGUCAUGGAUCCUCUUUAUUAUAAUUGAUGAUUAUUAUCAUCUGAAUAACCAUCAGGGCGUUUGACUGUCUUUAUAAAAUCAUUGAC